UGGGCAACCUGCCCCUCUCUCUGGGAUAACCCCGGGAAACCGGAGCUAAUACCGGAUACUCCGGCUGGAUCGCAUGGUCCGGCCGGGAAAGGUCCGCCGGAGAGGGAUGGGCCCGCGGCCUAUCAGCUUGUUGGUGGGGUCAUGGCUCACCAAGGCGACGACGGGUAGCCGGCCUGAGAGGGUGACCGGCCACACUGGGACUGAGACACGGCCCAGACUCCUACGGGAGGCA
RNAcentral lists this ribosomal RNA (232 nucleotides) under uncultured bacterium. RNAcentral's name for it is "partial 16S ribosomal RNA". It matches the Rfam family "Bacterial small subunit ribosomal RNA", at positions 118 to 350 of the family's 1533-position model. The record is from RNAcentral.